CAUUCCGAACCCGGAAGUUAAGCCCUCCAGCGCCGAUGGUACUGCCGGGGCAACCCGGUGGGAGAGUAGGUCGCCGCGGGAA
Molecule: ribosomal RNA, 82 nt
Filed under: Nitriliruptor sp.
Lineage: Bacteria; Bacillati; Actinomycetota; Nitriliruptoria; Nitriliruptorales; Nitriliruptoraceae
Source: RNAcentral